Long non-coding RNA from Epinephelus moara (kelp grouper), 1679 nucleotides. RefSeq lists it as uncharacterized. The record is from RefSeq and is a predicted model, not a curated record. The transcript is spliced from 3 exons. NCBI's taxonomy places the organism in Eukaryota, Metazoa, Chordata, Actinopteri, Perciformes, Serranidae.
GCUCCAUGACAGCAGAAGCUCCGUGUGAAUCCAUGUUUGAUCUCUAAAACCAUCAUUGUCUGGUCAGUGGACAUUCAGCGGAGAAGGAGACGGUUAACAGCAACCAAUACGAAACGAGGACGAAGACGCUUUUUAAGACAUGGUGUCAGGAGGAGAAGCUGCGCUCUAAGACCUGCAGGAAGUGACAUCAUCACCAUGUGACAACACUACACAGGUGGUAUUUAAACCUGUGGCGACUCUGAGGAGGAGUUUGAUUUUAAAUACCUGUACAGUUUUUUAUUUUAGUUUUAUUUUUUGUUUGUUUCUGGGGGUGAAUGAUAAACAGAACAACAUUCUCACUUCAUGGAAAAUGAAAAUCAUUCGCCACCUUCGUCUGAUCAAACGCUCGUCUGUCUGCUUCAGUAUCUACGGUGGCUGAGAAGGUCCAAACAAAGCCUGCAGGUACAGGAAACAGGAAACACCAGAUACAGCUUGUGUCUGGGUCUUCAAAAUAAAAGAAUAAAAUAUAAUCCUAUGUUAGAAUUUUUUAUGAAGUGUGAAUAUCAGACAGUGAUGAUGUCACAGUGUGGCGUUAUUUUCCUCUGCAUGCGUCCACUAUCAGAAACGUAGAGUAACAUCAGAGGGAUGCGCCACAAAGGUGGUCAUCAACUUCCUGUCUAAGCCCCGCCCCUCUUCUUCAGGCUCUAAACAAACACUCAGUAUGUUUCCAGGCACAGUGCGACGCCUAAGGCCCUGACACACCAAGCCGACGGUCGGCCGUCGACCAAAGUCGGGCCGUCGGUGAGCGUCUGUCGCCCUAGUUUUUGUGGUGUGUCCCGCACCAUCGGCACUUCGUCGUUGGCGGCUUUUCGGUCAAUUGAGCAUGUUGAAUCGGCUGCGGAGCUUGUCGGUGAGAGAGUUCACUCUGAUUGGCUGUUCAGGUUUUAUUUCCUCGCCCCUGUAGCGAGUGAAACUGCCUGUAGUGAAACCGGGGCUAACCGGUGCUUCCUCCUCAGGCUCCACUUCACUCAGCUGCCCGACAGACCCGCUGUUUCUUCCCACUUUAACCUGAAUAACAAACCAGAGCUAGCUGGGAGCGGCUAGCAGAGCAUUAGCCUCAGCAUGACCGGAGGGAAGCACAGCCAGUUAGCCUCCGCUAGCCUCCCAGCUAGCCCCGGCUCUCCGUUUGGAUCCAACCGGAGCACCGAGCCCUGGUUUGUUAUUCAGGUUAAAGUGGGAAGAAGCAGCGGGUUUAUCGGGCAGCUGAGUGAAGUGGAGCCUGCGGAGGAAACACCGGGACCGUCUGGAUGUAAUAGUCCGUGGAGGUGCUGCGGUGCUCGGCUGCACAGAUAGGAAACCCCUCGACUGACAGGAUGUACCACUCUCUCACUCCGCUCUCUCUCACGCAGGUGCAGAACGUACGUGCUACUUGGCCAUUGGAUAUAGUCCGUGUUGUGUGUUCAAAUGCAACUGACACAGGGUGACAUGAGGCGAUGUAGACGACGCAACAGUUGGCUUUUGUUGCCGCUAGUUCUUUGAUGUCAGUCUGGUGUGUCUGCACCUUUACAGCUCGACGAGGUCAUUUAAAGGGACGACUGGCCUCGUCUUGGGAUACAGGCACGGGAGAGGAAUCUGACCGAAGUGCCCCGACUCUUUGUCGGCAUCACUGAUGUGCUGAUGGUUCACUGUGCCUAGAGCCU